GCCAACAUGGUGAAACCUCGUCUCUAUUUUAAAAAAAAAAUUGUGUAGUCCGGAAGCUGGCAGUCUCCUCAGUCGUCAGACUAGUGCUAGCGACACGGGAGUGGCUAACACAUCCUCUUGCUGUUCCCAGUGUUUGGGCCUUGCCUGUGAUGGUGGGAAAAGAAAAUGGCCUUGCUGUGCUACAACUGGGGCUGCGGUCAGUGCUUCGAUCCUGAGACCAAUUCCGAUGAUGCUUGCAUGUACCACCCAGGUGUCCCAGUCUUUCACGGUACAUUAAAGGGUUGGUCUUGCUGUAAGAGAAGAACAAUGGAUUUUUCUGAUUUUUAAGCAUUGUAGGCUAUACAUAAGGUAGACAUAAUAGUGAGAAGCCACCUGAGCCAGUCAAACCUGAAGUCAAGACUACUGAGAAGAAGGAACUAUCUGAAUUGAAACCCAAAUUUCAGAACACAUCAUUCAAGCUCCUAAGUUAGUAGAAGCAAUAAAAACGCCAAGCCCAGAUGAACCAAUGACAAAUUUGGAAUUAAAAAUAUCUGCCUUUCCAAAACAAGCACUUGACAAACUGUCAUCAGGGAAUGACGAAGAUAAGAAAGAAGAAGACAAUGAUGAAAUUAAGGUUGGGACCUCAUGUAAGAAUGGAGGGUGUUCAAAGACAUAUUGGUGUCUAGAAAGUCUAGAAGAAGUCUGUGUAUAUCAAUCUGGAGUGCCUAUUUUCCAUGAGGGGAUGAAAUACCUAAGCUGUUGUAGAAGAAAAUCUUCUGACUUUAAUACAUUCUUAGCCCAAGAGGGCUGUACAACAGGGAAACACAUAUGGACUAAAAAGGAUGCUGGGACAAAAGUUGUUCCAUGUACACAUAACUGGCAUCGGACUGGAGGUGAAGUUACCAUUUCAGUAUAUGCUAAAGAUUCACUUCCAGAAGUUAGUCGAGUAGAAGCCCAUAGCACAUUGUUAAAUGUGCACAUUGUAUUUGAAGGAGAGAAGGAAUUUGAUCAAAAUGUGAAAAUAUGGGGUGUGACUGAUGUAAAGUGAAGUUAUGUAACUACAACUGCAACAAAGAUUGAGAUCACUAUGAGAAAAGCUGAACCGAUGCAGUGGGCAAGCCUUGAACUGUCUGCAGUGAAAAAGCAGGAAAAGCAAAAAGAUGACCCAGUAGAUUGAGUGGGAGGUGGGAGGAAGGCUAUUACGUAUUUCAGAAUUCUUAAUACUGUGUGAAGUGGUGACUUGCUGCUGAAAUCUUUUGUUUUGCUGUGGUGUUACUGAAUCUGGCAUUUCAGGGUUAACAUUAGGUUCUUAAAAGCCAAAGUCAGUUUGUCUUUUUGUGCCUCUCAUCUUUCUUUUGUGUUUUGUAAGACUGAUUGUUCAUUUCUCCUUACUGGUAGGAACCAUAGUUGUGUCCUGUACUUGAAGAGGCUGGAACAUAGCCCAUAACCAUAAUUGCAGUAU
This is an RNA transcript of Cercocebus atys (sooty mangabey), 1441 nucleotides long. It is a transcript of the gene named cysteine and histidine-rich domain-containing protein 1-like, with no coding region annotated. The transcript has a single exon. The record is from RefSeq and is a predicted model, not a curated record. NCBI's taxonomy places the organism in Eukaryota, Metazoa, Chordata, Mammalia, Primates, Cercopithecidae.